RNAcentral lists this long non-coding RNA (1030 nucleotides) under Homo sapiens (human). Its description in RNAcentral is "HSALNT0320927". Lineage: Eukaryota; Metazoa; Chordata; Mammalia; Primates; Hominidae. The record is from RNAcentral.
UUUCUGUCUGCCUCUCAUUGGCAAACAUGACAUUUCAGCAAUUUCUCUAAAGAGGAAUGACUGGGGGGUAUGUACAGCAGGCAUCAUGUAAGAAAAACUCACACCUCACGACAUAUUUGUUUGAUUUAUUCAGCAGACUUCAGCAAAGGAAAGAUGUGAAAGCAACCCUUGAUUGUUGAUUUUUUGUUCAUUCUGAAAAUCACAUCGCCAGAUCCAACACCUUUUUAUCCCAAUCACCAGUACAAGCCACCCGUAUCAGUGUACACUGUGGCUGACCGAUCCAUAGUGAUGCUUUGAGCACAAGGAAGGACUUUCUGGAAUCUACUUAUCUGACCAAGAAAGCUUCUUUCCAAAAGAAAUGCAAUUGUCUUGAGACUUCUUCCCUAGGGAUCUGAUCAACUAACCAGAAAAGAGCAACCACCAGAGAAGAGACUUGCCAUUGUCUAUUGUACGUGACUUAACCCUAAGCUACCUCUGCUGCUACUAUCAGUGGAUGUAGCCUUCAAGUGUUAUUCAUGGGAUUUGUGGAGCUACUGAACAAUAGAAAAAUCUGUUGUCAACUCUGAUUACAAGAAUGUAAUGAUUCUUCCUAAAAUAAAAGGAGAAAUCUUUCUCUUUAGCAACAUGGGAGAAGAUGAAAACAAAAAUACAGCUACUGUUCUGAACAAAGAGAAGAAAAGCCAUUUCAAGGGUUAACAAGUAAAGUUUUUAUUCAGCAAGCAAUUUCAGAGCAGAUGGGUUGGGAGAGGAUAAAGGAAGAAAGCAAAGUCUUUGUAGAAACCAUUUGGUUAAGACUUAGUUCUUGAAACAAACUGAACAAUAGCAGGGACUCAACAGUAAGUCUUCUAACAGGAUGAAAUGAGGCUCCAUCACAGACAGCAUACGUUUGUAUACUGGAGUGCACCAGGAGAAGCAGAACUUGGAAGAUAUGGUUUCUCACAGCUUCCUUAACUCAGAGGGUGAUUUCAAUAAUUCUCAAAAAGUUCUUGCUGGCUGGGUGCAGUGGCUCACACCUGUAAUCCCAGCACUU